GGCCUACGGGGCGCAGCAGUGAGGAAUAUUGGUCAAUGGGCGGAAGCCUGAACCAGCCAAGUCGCGUGAGGGAAUAAGGCCCUACGGGUCGUAAACCUCUUUUGCCGGGGAGCAAGGGCGGGGACGUGUCCCGGCCCGGAGAGUACCCGGAGAAAAAGCAUCGGCUAACUCCGUGCCAGCAGCCGCGGUAAUACGGAGGAUGCGAGCGUUAUCCGGAUUUAUUGGGUUUAAAGGGUGCGUAGGCGGGCUUUUAAGGCAGCGGGAAAAAUUCGGGGCUCAACCCCGGCCGGUCGUUGAAACUGGGG
This 305-nucleotide ribosomal RNA is filed under the name uncultured bacterium. RNAcentral's name for it is "bacterial SSU rRNA". It matches the Rfam family "Bacterial small subunit ribosomal RNA", at positions 335 to 638 of the family's 1533-position model. The record is from RNAcentral.